Erigeron canadensis is the source of this 2102-nucleotide long non-coding RNA. RefSeq lists it as uncharacterized. NCBI's taxonomy places the organism in Eukaryota, Viridiplantae, Streptophyta, Magnoliopsida, Asterales, Asteraceae. The record is from RefSeq and is a predicted model, not a curated record. The transcript has 11 exons.
UUGCUCGAAGAAUCCGUAACCAAAGACUUCAUCGGUUGUUCGAAGAUCAUCAAACACCAAUCCUUGAUGCAACUCGGAGCCUCCUUUGAUCGAUCACCAGCACACCACGGGACAUUAAUUGCAUGAUGUUUCGAAAUCGGGUCUUUACUUAUGCUUUCAUCGAGUUGCUUCUUUAUUCUCCUAAUAUUGGAUAUGCAAUAAGUUUUGCCCUCAAAGUGUUUGAUGUUAUGUCUCAAAGAAACAAAUGGCCUUGUAAGAAGGCUGCAAGGGGUGAGGUGAAGCUCGGUCAUGAUUUUCUUUAUUGGUUUCUCCUGUCCAAGUUUCGACAUCCCAGGUUAUGCUUCCAUUGAAGGUGACUCCCCUUUGUAAAAGAUAACAAAUAAGCAGAUAUUUUAUAGAAGCUUCAUAUGAGCAAUACUUACUCGAGGGCCAUCCUGCAUAUUGGGCUUUUAAGGUAUCUGGUGAUGCUGCGGAUCAAAUGGGAACACUAUCCUUUGCUGUGUAGUGCUGGCAAAGAUGAGGAUGAUUCAAUUAUAAAUUUUCUCUGAAGAACGGUCAUUGGGAAUGGGAAAAUGCAGACAUGGACAAAAAUUGUUUUAUAGUUUGAACUCUGGUUCUGGUGGCUUUCUAAAUUUGCUUUCUUCUUAGGAAAAAACGGGCAAUCAAGAAAAAUGAGGCAAAAAUAUCAGAAAAAGAAUAAACGCACGGAACACUACCCUAGAAAAUCAGUUACUUAAUAUGGACAUGGAAGUUUAGUAUCAAGAGGUAGCUAUAUGAUUGCCUAUGACGGGAUUUUAUAAGUAGUACUUUAUGUCAAACAAAUAGAUUAAGAAACAUUUAUUAACUAUUUAGGGAAGUAGUUGAACCACUCGAGUGUUGCUCAUAGUUUCUUAAAUGGUUAAAACUUCUUACGUCACUUUUUAAAGAUAGAUUAUGAUUUUUUAGGUGAUGAGAGAUUGGUCAAGCGUCGGACCCCUUUGUACAUAUACUCGAAAAUAAUCUGCCUUGACCCCUUAGACAACAAGAAAUAUGGAGUCUGUAUAAUUAACCUGGAAGAGAUUGUGGUAUGGUGGAGUUUAAAUACAUAACGCAAGAAAGUAUACAUGAAUGGAGUUUCUACUGAAGACGGGCUUUCCGUAACUUCAGAUGAGUAUGUUAAGUAUCAUGAUCUAGGAAGUGGUGAAAACAAUGAUGAUAUGAAAGGAAAAGUAGAAAAUGUUGAUGCAAAAGGAAAUAGUGGACAGAGCUAAAAAGAGAAUACGUUGUUAAAUGAUGGGAAAAAGGGAGAGGCUGGUCGUGCAACUCUUGAUCAUGAUCAAGAUGUAGUAUUGUAAGGACAUUACAAGGAUGGAAGGCAAUAAAGAGAUGAAAGAUCAUUUAAUAAGGGCUAAAGGUUACUUAGCUUUUCAAUACCAACUAACAAUGCUCAUUAAAUGAAGGAAUUAUGAUUACGAAUUAAGGAAUUAAAGCGAGCCAUGGGAAAAGUCACUAAAGAUCUUGACAUAUCUAAGAGUCACGCAGGUGCCAGGUUGAAAUUAUCCAUGUACAACUUUACAUUUCCGAGAGGAAAGUGCAGGAACAGUCUUUCCCGCAUGGAUGGGAAAGUCUGGUGUGAUGCAAUGAGGCACAGGGGUCUCCUUUCCACCAGUGAGGAUCGAGCUGGACGUUAAGGAAUUGACCAUACAAUGAUUGUUUUCAUUGAUGCCACUGUGGAGAAACUAACUAAAACAACAGCACAUGCACUUCUGAAUGGUGAAACUGAGGAUACGAGUGAUGAUUCGGUCAUCUGGAAGCGUUUGCUAUCCCUGGUGCAGCACACACCCCUGAAGCUCAAUUCCGGUACAUAUACUACCAAUAUGGGGAGUACCAAGGUUUCAAUUGUUGGGUAGAGCUAUAUUUAAAAUACUCAUUGGAUAUAGGGUUUGAUUCUAUAAUAGUGUCAUCGUGCUAUCAUUUAUGCUCUGUAAACGCACGUAAGAGUAAUACUGUGUCCUCAAUGUAAGAUGGAAUCUCAAAACUGUACAUUACAAAUGUUUUUAAGUUGUGAUCAAAUUUAUGAUAGAAUUUACGAGGAACUUAAUGCAUUUUAAUUCUAAUUGUUA